This 714-nucleotide ribosomal RNA is filed under the name Triticum aestivum (bread wheat). RNAcentral's name for it is "partial small subunit ribosomal RNA". The record is from RNAcentral. Lineage: Eukaryota; Viridiplantae; Streptophyta; Magnoliopsida; Poales; Poaceae.
AUGUCCUUUCUUCAGAUUUCAGGACAUCCUAUGGUUAAUCAAGGUCCAGUGCAUGCCAAUGUUUCUCGGAAGCUUACCAUGCAUAAUCUGGUACAUGAUCUUGCCUCAAAAAUUAUUGACGAUGAAUUCCUUGUUCUGGAUCCUAAAGCAAAUGGAGCAAGGAGUUGGAAAAGAGCUAUUCAUUGCCGGCAUGCAGAGUUGAUACAAUACGAGAAUCAAUCCAAUGUUUUCGAUUGUCUGCCAAAAAAGCUUAGAUCACUCCAUAUUAGAGAUUUGCAGAAGUGGCAACUCCCCCCAAAGGCAUUUUCUCGAUCCAAGUACAUACGUGUCUUGGACCUAGCAUGUACAGCACGACAACUCACUGAAGGCCAAUCUACGUCAAGCAACAUUAUGCUGCCACGUUCCAUCAAAAACCUGAAGCUACUUAGGUACCUUGAUUCCACGGGAUUGCCAGUUCCUUUACUUCCUAAGUCUCUGUAUACACUUCAGAAUAUGGAAACUCUGAUUAUGUCCAAUUGCUCACUCGAAACCUUGCCUGACAAUAUCUGUAGCCUCCACAGACUUCGUUAUCUGGACCUAUCCGGUAAUAGAAGCCUUGAUAAGCUACCUACCUCAUUGGGUAAGCUCUCUAAACUCUCUUUCCUCAACUUGUCUGGGUGUUCCAUCCUCCAAGUGCUGCCUAAAUCCAUCUGUGAGCUGGCAUCUUUAGAAUAG